AGGACAAACGCUGGCGGCGUGCCUAAGACAUGCAAGUCGAACGGAAGGCUUCGGCCUUGAGUGGCGGACGGGUGAGGAGCGCGUGGAGAACCUGCCCCGGGGUGGGGGAUAACAGUCGGAAACGAUUGCUAAGACCGCAUACGACCAUUCGUUGCAGGAUGAAUGGGGAAAGCAGCGAUGUGCCCUGGGAGGGCUCCGCGUCGGAUUAGCUAGUUGGUGGGGUAACGCCUACCAAGGCUGCGAUCCGUAGCUGGUCUGAGAGGACGGCCAGCCACACUGGGACUGAGACACGGCCCAGACUCCUACGGGAGGCAGCAGUUAGGGAAUUUUGUCAAUGGGCGAAAGCCUGAACGAGUGACGCCGCGUGCGGGAUGACGCCUUUCGGGUGUAAACCGCUUUUCCCAAGGACGAGGAUGGACGGUACUUGGGGAAUAAGUCUCGGCUAACGUACGCGCCAGCAGCCGC
Molecule: ribosomal RNA, 465 nt
Filed under: uncultured bacterium
Lineage: Bacteria
Description: SSU rRNA
Rfam family: Bacterial small subunit ribosomal RNA
Source: RNAcentral